Molecule: ribosomal RNA, 254 nt
Filed under: uncultured bacterium
Lineage: Bacteria
Description: partial 16S ribosomal RNA
Rfam family: Bacterial small subunit ribosomal RNA
Source: RNAcentral
UACGUAGGGGGCUAGCGUUGUCCGGAAUCAUUGGGCGUAAAGAGCGUGUAGGCGGCUCGAUAAGUCCGCUGUGAAAGUCCAGGGCUCAACCCUGGAAUUGCCUUUAAGACUGCAUCGCUAGAAUUGUGGAGAGGUAAGUGGAAUUCCGAGUGUAGAGGUGAAAUUCGUAGAUAUUCGGAAGAACACCAGUGGCGAAGGCGACUUACUGGACACAUAUUGACGCUGAGGUGCGAAAGCGUGGGGAGCAAACAGGG